GAAAGCUGAGGAAAGAAAGUGUACCGGACACGAACAAAUAAACACAUCUGUGGAAUUAACGUAAGAGCGAUUUGGUUACCUUUGCCAGAACCAACUUUCAAAUACUGAAUUUUAUGUCUGGGGGAAAAUUAAAAGUAUGUAAAACAAACAUUACAGGCAAAAGAGCUCCUUGGAGUCACUGAGGAAACGGGACAAGUGAAUGCUUUGAUCUGUUCAUACUCCCUUACUCAGUGCACCUGGAAACGUGCUGAGCAUAGAUAACGUCCUUCCGUCCUCAAGUGCAAUGCUACGUGGCUAUUGUUUCUGGCAACCAUCAGCAUGGUGGAGAUUCCACUAAAGGUAAGAAGCUGGCCAGGCCCAGGAAGAACGCUGGCUGCAGAGAGGGAAUUGAAGCCCUAAUCACAUUCUCCUCUGCUUCUCCCUGCUAAACACACUCAGGAAUCCAAUUCAUCAAGAAAAUUAAUCAUAUGGAUUGUUAACAGCCUCACUCUCAGCAUCCAAAGGUAAUCUGUGUGUGCUGUCACAAGUCGCACGCUGCAAGAAUGAUUAAAUAGGGGCUGUCAGGAAGACCACGCUACACAAUGACUUAUUUAAGGCAUAUAUGUCCUACAGAUAUUUGUUUUUCUGAACGACAGCAAUAAUGAAGUGUCUAUAUUUUUCAUCCCUAGUAUGUGCCUCCAAACUCCACCCCUCACCCAUUCUGCCCCUCACCCGUCCCUGCCCCCACUCAUCCCCACCCUCACCUGACCUCACACCUCACCCUUUUUCAUCGCUAACCACUCAGACACUUCAGAACACUAUUGAAUGUCUUCUUUAUUAUAAGUCACUUUUCUUCUUGCACAUAAGAAUGAACUUGGUGACCGGCCCCUCUCAGGCUGACCCAGGAAGAAGUCACGCCCAGGGGUUUAUAUUUGGGAAACUGCAGCCAGGCACUGGUUAUUAAUGAAGUAAGCGAGGUAAGCCUUCAUACUCUCCUUCAGAGCAAGCAUGGGACUUUUGACUAAGAGGCAGCAGAGUUAUAAAAUAAUCAAUUCCAAGCUCAUCAAAUGUUCUCAAGACUAUGAUUGCUGCCAGGCCAUCCACAGUAACAGUAUUUUACAUGUUCCAGAGAAUAAAUGGGCAAAAUUCCCUUUAAUACAGUUAACAGCCAGCAGAAAAUUACCCCUUUGUGUUACACAACAAAUUUUUCAUGAAAAAUAUAUGGUGUAAAAAAUGGCUUUUGGAAAAUAAAACAAAGCUUAUUUUCAUACUAGACUGUAUGAGGCCACAAUUAUGUAAUAGCAAAUCAUGUAUGCGUUCUUGUCCUAAAACUAUAUCAAAAUGAGCCUCAUGCGUAAUGGAAAUAGAAAAAGAAUCCCAGUAGUCCAUCCAUAUUGAUCACAACUACCAAAUAAAGUAAUAAUUAACCCUUUUAUCUUAUCUGUAUCACUUUUGAGGUAAGAUGAUGGAGUGCCUUGAGAUUUUGUUUUCAAACAUGAUAAAACACAAACAGGUAGAAAUUAGGUAAAAAUGAGUGUUAAGCCAAGAUAUGAUUUUUAUAUAGACAAACUACAUUUCUAUGUAAUUAUUGGAUUCAGGUUAUUACUUUCAUUAAGAAAUUCUUUAUUAAUCAACCUAGUUACAAAAGCUGUGAUCGACAGUGUUCACCAGCCUAAAUGACAUACUGGUACAUUAAUGGCGCAAACAUGGCUUUGAGUAAUCACCUGCUAUCUGAUUGGAUUUAAGGCCCACUCUAUGAGAUGGCACAUAUGUGAUGACUAAACGGUGAGAUUAGAUGGGCUAUGGGCCUUGGGGACAACCAAACCAUGUUGUUCAGUCCAAAGACUUUCUGAUACAUGCAUAGAUCAGCGACUUGCUCAGGAAAGCUUCCUCUUGCCCUACAUGGGAUCUAACACAGAAACUCACAAUGAUCAAUGUGCAGAGAGUGAGAAACCCUCAGAACACUCAGUCCUAAAUGGAAUGUAUUCAAAUUCCUCCCCUCUGGGCUCAGACAAUGCUGUGGAAGAGGAGGCAGAAAGAGUGUGCUAGAGCGGAUGGCUGACAUCAAGGAAACAGUGUCUUCCACACACAACAGGGAUGACACACAUGUGAGUGCACAGGAAUGGUGGCAGCACCUACAGCGCAUGCACAGGUCUGGCUAGAAGAGGUCCAGGGUUGAGGAGAGAAGUGCACAUGAGUUCCCAUUUCUAAGCAAGAGGCUAUCUUUAAUUGAUAGCCACUUGCAAAGAAAAGUUAGUUUUCUCCAAUGGAGUCUCAAUGAGCAUACAAACCAAUCUUAAGAGUAGGCCAGUGAAAAAUGAACUCAAUGGUGUUUUCAAAGAUUUUAUAUAUAUAUAUACACACACACACACACACACACACACAUAUAUAUAUAUAUAUAUAUAUACACACACACAUAUAUAUGCUAUGGAUUUUUUGUGUGUAUAUGUUUCUCAUGCAUUUUCUUUAUAUUUUUAAAUUCAGGUUUGCUGUCUGUUUUUUAUUUGCCUGCUUUUUUCCUAAGGAGAGAGAACGAGGGUGUGGUGCUCGAAGGGUGUGGAGGUUGGGAGGAUUUGGGAAUAUCUGGGAGUAACUGGGGUGGGAAAAGUGUGACCAGAGUGUAUUGUGUAAAAAAAUAUUUUCAAUAAAAAAUGAUGAAGAAAGGGGCAUGUUGUGUGGUGCCAAUUUUAUAACACAUACAUGGAAUUUUAGCAUUUAUCAUAGAUGGUUUCCUUUUUCUGUUAAAUUGUUAAAAAAUUAGUUUGUAUUAGUAUUAUAAAGAAUACUGAAAUUAUUAAACACAGAAAGCCUCUAGAAAACUGAAGUCAAUUUCGGCAUUACAGAGUAGUUUUAAGACAGAUUCCUAAAAGAUGUGUUAGUUUGUUCAACUUCUGAGCUGUGGUACCCCUAGUUGGCAAUGUUUUCAGGUCUGGUUUAUUAUUAAUGAAGGCAGUUGGAUUCCAUUGUUUUCAUAAAGGUAUCCUUUUUUGGGGGUUUCAGUUUUAAAAAUUCCUUGCAAAUUUCAUACAUAUAUACAAUUAAAUACAAUCUUAAGCACCCAUCCCCCACCACCCUGACAUCAAAAACUUUUCUUUUAAUUACCAAGUUAAAUUAGUAUUGCCCAUACUACUUUAUGCCCAUAUAUUGAUGGCAGUGGGGCCAUCCACUAGGUCAUGGGAAACAUACCAAUGACAGUACUCUCAAAGAAGAAUGAGUCUCCCUAUUCUAGAAAAUGUUGGAAAUGUCUCCUUGACAAUGCUUGGGGGUUAAGGGGACUGGAGAUCCCUUU
This 3268-nucleotide long non-coding RNA is filed under the name Mus musculus (house mouse). RNAcentral's name for it is "long non-coding RNA chr15:26688399-26691667". The record is from RNAcentral. Lineage: Eukaryota; Metazoa; Chordata; Mammalia; Rodentia; Muridae.